CUCUUCAAGUUGCAUAAAUCUUUCAUCUUUUACUAAAGAUUUACGUGGAGAG
This 52-nucleotide small nuclear RNA is filed under the name Crocodylus porosus (Australian saltwater crocodile). RNAcentral describes it as "U5 spliceosomal RNA (ENSCPRG00005007274.1)". Lineage: Eukaryota; Metazoa; Chordata; Crocodylia; Crocodylidae. The record is from RNAcentral.